Molecule: ribosomal RNA, 253 nt
Filed under: uncultured bacterium
Lineage: Bacteria
Description: partial 16S ribosomal RNA
Rfam family: Bacterial small subunit ribosomal RNA
Source: RNAcentral
UACAGAGGGGGCAAGCGUUGUUCGGAAUUACUGGGCGUAAAGGGCGCGUAGGCGGCCUGCUAAGUCGAUUGUGAAAUCCCCGGGCUUAACCUGGGAACUGCAGUCGAGACUGUCUAGCUAGAGUAUGGGAGAGGGAAGUGGAAUUUCAGGUGUAGCGGUGAAAUGCUUAGAUAUCUGAAGGAACAUCAGUGGCGAAAGCGACUUCCUGGACCAAUACUGACGCUCAUGUGCGAAAGCGUGGGGAGCAAACAGG